This is a long non-coding RNA of Seriola aureovittata, 1571 nucleotides long. RefSeq lists it as uncharacterized. The record is from RefSeq and is a predicted model, not a curated record. The transcript has 3 exons. Lineage: Eukaryota; Metazoa; Chordata; Actinopteri; Carangiformes; Carangidae.
UACAGUUUCCAUAAUGAAUGAAAGACAUAUAGUCACAAGUGGCAUCGUUUUUUCUAUUUAUGGACUUGAAUGGAUGAAUAUACAGAAUGAAAAUCUGUGGGUACCAAUGAAAUAUGUUCUGUUAUGUGAAAGAUCACCAUCUCUUCUACUCCAUCAACAUUGAAUUUGGACACACGUUUGGAUGUCUUCCGGUAGACACCAGUGACCAAUGCAUUUUCACCUCACUUUGAUUUACUGUGUCACAUGACAAUGUAGAAAAACAAGCAUGAAAACAGUGAUUCAGUUUUCUGGCUUGAAAUACACAUUUUGCCAGAAUAUAAGGCUACUUGCCUGUUUAAAAUUUUAAGUGUCGUUUUAUAAAAUAAUAAAUUUAGCUGCUUUUUUACUGCGCAAAUGACACAUUCAUGUGUGCUUAAAACAAGCAGGACACAUGACACUGCAGUCGAGACUUCAGGGAAAUAAACCCACUCAGUCCUCGCGGUGCCAGGCAUACCCACUGCCACUGUACCUCCCCCUUCUCAUCUAUAUAAAGCCUCUGUCUGGCAGUGACAGUCUGUCACAGAAAUGGACACUGGGGUGAGAAUGAAGCGGGGAAAAAUAAGCUUUAGUUGCGACAGUGGACUUCUACUUUGUCACUAGUUUUGACUGUACCUCAUAUCUGAAGAAGCUGAAGAGUCACACGUUUCAGUGGGUCCAAGAGUUGCAUCCUUGGCCUAAUAACAACACCGUAGCUUCAUACAAACGUCAAAACCUUGCAGGCUAGUAGUUUUCAAAUGCCUCUAUGAGUGUCGCCACACAUACUGGAGAGUAAGAGGCGAUAACUGAGGAUGGCUGUGCAGAGGUUACAAAAGCCACAUCUGUCGACAGAAAGACGGGGAACUGGAGCAGCCACCGGUUGGCUCAGUUUCUGUCAGACUGCUUCAGAUCCUGUCUGAUGGGUUUUAGGUGCUCAAGAAACUCUUUUGGUGGUAGAAGUAGUAGGCUACAAUGGGUAAGUAGCAUGGGAGUCAUGGGUGUUUACCAACAGGUAGUCACAAUACUGUCCCUUUUUUUCCUUUGAGGAGUGACUGAUUUUUAAAAUCACACACAAGCCAUGAGGGUUGAUUUAACUGGGCUGAAUUUGCGCAUUUGACUGUUCACCUGCAUUAUUGGGUAAUAACAAGAUAAGAAGCGCCAUGAGUCAUUCCAGCCAGAGAUGGCGAUGAUGCCGAGCAUUGUCCUACACAGAGAAGAUUUGUCACAUACAGCUCUAAUGGGGAGCUUCACAAAUACACGACGCAAAUGUAAUUCCUCGUACAUAUAGGUGCAGCUUGACUUUCAGGGUUUACAGUGGCAAAUGCAAAACAAUUAAUUUCCCUGUACGAGAGGCCACAAUACCCUGGUCACAGCCCCCAGCCCGUGACAGGCGGUGUAGCUUGCAGCAUGCGAUCCUGAAUGCCCAUGUUUAAAGCUCUACAUUUGACUGUUCUGCUGGAGUUUACACUUGGAGAAUUCCCAGGAAAAUUCCCAGUUGGUCUGACUAAUUAGAUUUUGGCUCCAUGAAGCCCCCCCAUUCAAGGUUUAGAGUUUCA